Molecule: transfer RNA, 74 nt
Filed under: Teratoscincus keyserlingii (Persian wonder Gecko)
Lineage: Eukaryota; Metazoa; Chordata; Lepidosauria; Squamata; Sphaerodactylidae
Description: tRNA-Phe
Source: RNAcentral
GUUACUGUAGCUUAAUUAACCCAAAGCGCGGCCCUGAAGUUGCCGUGAUGGACACCAAAAUUUCCCAGGGAACA